GGCACAUCUGGGUACAUUGCCACUGAAAGGGUUAACAGGGUGCAUAGGCAGAUAGUCUGAUUAACCCAUUGAGUGGUAGCACUCUCCCCCUGACAAGUAAAACCGUCUGGUGAUAGACAGACUAAAAUUGUAAAGUAGGGUGCAUAUCUGGGUGCAUUGCCACUUAAGGGGGUAACAGGGUGCAUGCCAUGUGCAGAUAGUCUGAUUAUAACCCAUUGCAAAAUAAUAAAGUAAGGGACCGUUCAUUAAUUAAGGAC
Molecule: non-coding RNA, 257 nt
Organism: Paramuricea clavata
Lineage: Eukaryota; Metazoa; Cnidaria; Anthozoa; Malacalcyonacea; Plexauridae
Source: the annotation of a GenBank genome assembly